Molecule: transfer RNA, 72 nt
Filed under: Capra hircus (goat)
Lineage: Eukaryota; Metazoa; Chordata; Mammalia; Artiodactyla; Bovidae
Also listed under: 1 other name
Rfam family: tRNA
About the family: Transfer RNA (tRNA) molecules are approximately 80 nucleotides in length.
Source: Rfam by way of RNAcentral
UCCCUGGUGGCUCAGAGGUUAAAGCGUCUGCCUCCAAUGCAGGAGACCCGGAUUCGAUCCCUGGGUCGGGAA